GAUGAACGCUAGCGGGAGGCCUAACACAUGCAAGCCGAGCGGUAUUGUUUCUUCGGAAAUGAGAGAGCGGCGUACGGGUGCGGAACACGUGUGCAACCUGCCUUUAUCUGGGGGAUAGCCUUUCGAAAGGAAGAUUAAUACUCCAUAAUAUAUUGAACGGCAUCGUUUAAUAUUGAAAGCUCCGGCGGAUAGAGAUGGGCACGCGCAAGAUUAGCUAGUUGGUGAGGUAACGGCUCACCAAGGCGAUGAUCUUUAGGGGGCCUGAGAGGGUGAUCCCCCACACUGGUACUGAGACACGGACCAGACUCCUACGGGAGGCAGCAGUGAGGAAUAUUGGUCAAUGGGUGCAAGCCUGAACCAGCCAUCCCGCGUGAAGGACGACUGCCCUAUGGGUUGUAAACUUCUUUUGUAUAGGGAUAAACCUACCCUCGUGAGGGUAGCUGAAGGUACUAUACGAAUAAGCACCGGCUAACUCCGUGCCAGCAGCCGCGGUAAUACGGAGGGUGCAAGCGUUAUCCGGAUUUAUUGGGUUUAAAGGGUCCGUAGGCGGACUUAUAAGUCAGUGGUGAAAGCCUGUCGCUUAACGAUAGAACUGCCAUUGAUACUGUAAGUCUUGAGUAUAUUUGAGGUAGCUGGAAUAAGUAGUGUAGCGGUGAAAUGCAUAGAUAUUACUUAGAACACCAAUUGCGAAGGCAGGUUACCAAGAUAUAACUGACGCUGAGGGACGAAAGCGUGGGGGGCGAACAGGAUUAGAUACCCUGGUAGUCCACGCCGUAAACGAUGCUAACUCGUUUUUGGGCUUUAGGGUUCAGAGACCAAGCGAAAGUGAUAAGUUAGCCACCUGGGGAGUACGCUCGCAAGAGUGAAACUCAAAGGAAUUGACGGAGGCCCGCACAAGCGGUGGAUUAUGUGGUUUAAUUCGAUGAUACGCGAGGAACCUUACCAAGACUUAAAUGGGAAUUGACAGCUUUAGAAAUAGAGCUUUCUUCGGACAAUUUUCAAGGUGCUGCAUGGUUGUCGUCAGCUCGUGCCGUGAGGUGUUAGGUUAAGUCCUGCAACGAGCGCAACCCCUGUCACUAGUUGCCAUCAUUCAGUUGGAGACUCUAGUGAGACUGCCUACGCAAGUAGAGAGGAAGGUGGGGAUGACGUCAAAUCAUCACGGCCCUUACGUCUUGGGCCACACACGUAAUACAAUGGCCGGUACAGAGGGCAGCUACACAGCGAUGUGAUGCAAAUCUCGAAAGCCGGUCUCAGUUCGGAUUGGAGUCUGCAACUCGACUCUAUGAAGCUGGAAUCGCUAGUAAUCGCGCAUCAGCCAUGGCGCGGUGAAUACGUUCCCGGGCCU
This 1345-nucleotide ribosomal RNA is filed under the name uncultured bacterium. Its description in RNAcentral is "bacterial SSU rRNA". It matches the Rfam family "Bacterial small subunit ribosomal RNA", at positions 28 to 1381 of the family's 1533-position model. The record is from RNAcentral.